CCUACGGGAGGCUGCAGUGGGGAAUAUUGGUCAAUGGAGGCAACUCUGACCCAGCAACGCCGCGUGAGUGAUGAAGGUCUUCGGUAUGGAAAGCUCUGUUAGUCGGGAUGAACACAAUGACGGUACCCCAAUAACAAGCCACGGCUAACUACGUGCCAGCAGCAGCUGUAAUACGUAAGUGGCAAGCGUUAUGCGGAAUUACUCGGUGUAAGGGGAGCGUAGGUGGGUUUGUAAGUUUGAGGUGAAAUUGCGGGGCUCAACCUCGGAGUGACCGCUAAAACUAGUAGGCUGGAGUGCAGGAGAGGUAAGUGGAAUUCGUAGUGUAGCGGUGGAAUGCGUAGAUAUUAGGAGGAACACCAGGGGCGAAGGCGACUUACUGGACUGUAACUGACACUGAGGCACGAAAGCGUGGGGAGCAAACAGGAUUAGAUACCCCGGUAGUC
Molecule: ribosomal RNA, 443 nt
Filed under: uncultured bacterium
Lineage: Bacteria
Description: partial 16S ribosomal RNA
Rfam family: Bacterial small subunit ribosomal RNA
Source: RNAcentral